CUAGCUUGAAGAAUUUUUUCUUUCGACUAGGGGUGUUCGUCAGCAAUAAGGCAUUUCCAAUUUUCAUAAAAGGCAUGAAGCUUCUGUAGUCUUUAGAAAUGAGGCUAUGCGAAGGUUUUAGCCAACUUAACAUUAAGAAUAUGAGCUUGAAGACUCUAUUUGUGGAUAAAUGUGAGAGUUUCUAGAAGGUGAUAUCUUCGUGCCAAACUUGGUGUGCU
Molecule: long non-coding RNA, 218 nt
Filed under: Carica papaya (papaya)
Lineage: Eukaryota; Viridiplantae; Streptophyta; Magnoliopsida; Brassicales; Caricaceae
Description: long non-coding RNA (CPAP_LNC013257)
Source: RNAcentral